UAUAAACCGUUAUUUCCAUCAAGUAUUAAGAUCUGUGAUACAACUAGAAGAGACGUUUCUGAAACAACCUGAUGGAUCUCAAACUUCAGUAGAAAUACUCAAUAGUUCUAGGUUCUUCCCAUAUUUUAAGGAUUGCAUUGGGGCAAUUGAUGGAAUGCACAUUCGGGCAAAAGUUCCUAUUGAAGAUGCACCAAGAUAUCGUGGUAGAAAGGACUACCCAACACAAAAUGUGCUAGCGGCAUGUACAUUUGAUUUAAAAUUUACAUAUGUUUUGCCUGAAUGGGAAGGAACUGCGUUAGACUCAAGAAUUUUAAAAAAUGCAUUAAGUAGACGCAAUAAGCUAAAUGUCCCCCAAGGUAAUUUUGUUAGAAAAAAAAAAAUUAGCCAUUAGUGUAUAACAACAUAAUGAUGCAUGUCAUUCCUAUAGGUAAAUAUUACCUUGUUGAUGCUAGAUUCAUGUUGAGGAGCUCACUUCUUGCACCUUAUAGAGGAGUCCAUUAUCACUUAAAAGAGUAUUCAAGAAAUCCACCGCAAAAUCCUAAAGAGUUAUUCAACCUUCAACAUGCAUCCUUACACAAUGUGAUUGAAAGAGCAUUUGGAGUCUUGAAGAAAAGGUUUCCUAUAAUAGCAAGCUCAAAUGAGCCGUCUUACGGAGUUCCAACCCAAAAAUAAUAAUUUUAGCAUGCUGCAUUUUGCACAAUUACUUGAUUGGUGCAGAUCCGGAUGAUAGAAUUCUUCAUGAGGUGGACGAAGAAAUUUUAAACAAUCUUAAACCCCAUGAACAGCUUAGUGCGCAAAGAGAGAGAAAUAAUGAUGAUGCUGCCUAAUGAGAGAUUUUAAGAAACUCAAUAGCAACUGAUAUGUGGAGGGAUUAUAAAUCCAACCCAACUUGAUGUUAUUCUAAAUUUAAUAAUUGUAGACAAAUGCUUCUAGUGGAUUUAGAACUAUGUCUUUGUUUUAAUGGGCUGAUUCUCAUUAGAAUUGUUUUAUUAUUUAAUUCUCUUUUUAUGGACUUAGCAUUUUGUAUAUGAUACAUUUAAUUUGCUUGGGAUAAACUAUUGAAUGAGUUUUGAUUGUGACU
Long non-coding RNA from Quercus robur (English oak), 1081 nucleotides. RefSeq lists it as uncharacterized. The transcript is spliced from 2 exons. Lineage: Eukaryota; Viridiplantae; Streptophyta; Magnoliopsida; Fagales; Fagaceae. The record is from RefSeq and is a predicted model, not a curated record.